RNAcentral lists this long non-coding RNA (336 nucleotides) under Phoenix dactylifera (date palm). Its description in RNAcentral is "long non-coding RNA (PDAC_LNC006694)". Lineage: Eukaryota; Viridiplantae; Streptophyta; Magnoliopsida; Arecales; Arecaceae. The record is from RNAcentral.
UAAUGUCAUGUAAUUUUUCAGAUGCUUGCAUGCAUCUUAUUUGAUAUUUUGAUAGGCCUGCGUGCCUCCUAAAAGAAGAUGUAAUUUAUUAUUAUUUUUAUUUUACAUCUGGUUGUAUUUCUGUGAUAUGAUGUACGUCAACGAUCAAGUUGAAGACAAGGCAUGAGAUGAACAGGGGUCUAAGCGGUUGAUGGCGAUUGGAUCAAGAGUUGGUCAAGGAUCGAAUCAAAGAGGCUUAGAACCAAUUCAAGAGUUGAAGACCAAUUGAUCGAUUGACGUGCAUGUGCUUGUAAUACGACCUAAUUAGAAUCCAUGAUCAUCACCUAUUUAAAGUUU